CACAUACCUUACACUUUUAUAAUUAAGAAUGCAUUCGUUUCGUGAAAAAUAAAUAAUUUGAAAAAUAUUUUCUUAAAAAUAUUAUUUGUACAAUGGGGUACUGAAAAGAGUGGGAGUCCUGUCGUAUACGAACCUUGUCGCACUAUGAGGUCCUAAGUUGGGUUGUUUGAGAAUGUAGCCCUAAUCAAGCACUAAAUUUUGUACAAAGCUAAACAUGAGAGAACUAUAGCAAGCAAGUACCGUGAGAAAAAAGAUGAAAUAGACUUUGAAAAUAAAGUCAAAGAGUGCUUGAAAUUAUUAAGAGGAAAGCGAAUGAGGGCUGACAAUGCACCUCAUUUGGAUGUGGAAUGGUGAUGAGCCGGUCUGCCAAUUUUAUUUUAUUUUUGUCAGAAGAUGGUUGAUAUUCAUCACUAGCCCGUAAAAUGGGCACCAUAAGCUGGUAUAUCUAGACAUAAUAUUGAAAGCAAAAGCAUAGGUGGAUAAUUAACCCAAUUACUAGGAAGGGUGUUUGAUCGAUGUGCACGUGUGACCCAAUCCGCUGCCAUAUUGGUCUUCCUGGGCUCAUAUUGAAUAGAGA
Molecule: non-coding RNA, 577 nt
Filed under: Eucalyptus grandis
Lineage: Eukaryota; Viridiplantae; Streptophyta; Magnoliopsida; Myrtales; Myrtaceae
Description: Eukaryotic large subunit ribosomal RNA
Rfam family: Eukaryotic large subunit ribosomal RNA
Source: Rfam by way of RNAcentral